CGCGGAAGUCUGCGGAGGGCAGAUUCUUCACGCCUGGGUUCUGCAGGGCAGGCGAGGGCCGUGUUCAUAUGCUGAAAACUAUACAGUGCUGAUGGAAGAAAUCCAAGCAGAUCCAAGUAAAAGAAGAAACAGACUUUGUUCAUGAAUUGGAGGACAGCACAGUGGUGCCAGCUCCCCUGAUGGUGUUGUAGGGUCCAGAUUGAUCAAGAAGAAGAAUGCGCUUACCUGUGCAGCAAAUCCUAUACCCAGCAAAACUGAAGAUGUUGUCAAAUGAAGAAAAACCAAGAGGGUUUGUUUCCAGCUGACUUUCUUCCACCUUUAAAGUUUGGCUAAAGGAAGCUCUCUGUACAGAACAUGGUAACAGGAGGCUGGGGAACUUCAGAAGGAAAAACAAUAGAAUGGAAAAAAUAAGGGGAAAUAGAAUAUCCUUGAGUUUUUAAAAGCCACAUUUGGCAUUUGAAGCAAAAAUUAUGGCAUUAUGCUUGCUUUCUGUGCAGAAAGUAAUCAUGUUUAGACAGUGGGGGAAUGGUGGAAGAAAUCCAAGCAGAUCCAAGCAAAAGGAGAAAUGGACUUUGUUCAUGGACCAGAGCACAGCAAGCAGGAUAAUUCUCCCAUCUUUGGCUUUGGUAUCCAAAGCUCCUGGAUGAAGGAAGUGUUUUCAUACUUCCCAGAAAGCAGAGAAACAGCCACAGGGGUGGGUUCCAAGAAGUACAUCCACAUGUUGUGAUACUAGAACCACCACUAAAAAAUGGGAAAACAAAAUGGUAUUUCCCAAAACUUUAUAAGUAAAUCAAGACAAUUCUAAAGAAAAGUACAAGUUAUCCAUUGGAAUGUAAGGGGGAAAAAAGGAACCAAAUAAAAACAACCAAUGUAAGCUCUAAUAAUUUAAUUAGUUGAUACCCUGAAUA
Long non-coding RNA from Otolemur garnettii (small-eared galago), 908 nucleotides. RefSeq lists it as uncharacterized. Lineage: Eukaryota; Metazoa; Chordata; Mammalia; Primates; Galagidae. The record is from RefSeq and is a predicted model, not a curated record. The transcript has 3 exons.